Molecule: long non-coding RNA, 451 nt
Filed under: Malus domestica (apple)
Lineage: Eukaryota; Viridiplantae; Streptophyta; Magnoliopsida; Rosales; Rosaceae
Description: long non-coding RNA (MDOM_LNC020674)
Source: RNAcentral
GUCAAGGGAGGAUUGAGACAUGUUUUCCUAAUGCUAGAAGGACUCCUAAGUGUUGUAGAACACAAAUGAGAAGUUUCUAGAGUGUUCCCCUCCUUGCCGUGAGUUUCCUACAUUUCCUAUCAGUUUUGGGGCUUUCUAGAAGCCCUAUCCCUAAUCCCUACAUUGGUGCCGCAUCCUAGCUUCUAGAAAUCUGAUUUCCUUGCCUUGCAAGGCUUUCUAGAAGCCUUAUCCACCUUAUCCCUAUCCAGCCGCACCUAGGAGGCUUUUUCCUUUGCAAAAUCUGAUUGUUUAGACCUAUUUCCUUGUGGAUUUGGGUUAUCCAAGUCCAUAUCUGAUUACCCUAGGGUUUUAAGUGCCUAUAUAUACUCCUAUUAACCCCUAAAUCAGAUCACCACUCACCACAAUUCACAAUUCACGCCAGAAAUCAUUCCUUGCUCUUUGCCGCACCCUU